UGGGGAAUUUUGGACAAUGGGCGAAGCCUGAUCCAGCAAUGCCGCGUGUGUGAAGAAGGCCUUCGGGUUGUAAAGCACUUUUGUCCGGAAAGAAAUCCUUGGCUCUAAUACAGUCGGGGGAUGACGGUACCGGAAGAAUAAGCACCGGCUAACUACGUGCCAGCAGCCGCGGUAAUACGUAGGGUGCAAGCGUUAAUCGGAAUUACUGGGCGUAAAGCGUGCGCAGGCGGUUUGCUAAGACCGAUGUGAAAUCCCCGGGCUCAACCUGGGAACUGCAUUGGUGACUGGCAGGCUAGAGUAUGGCAGAGGGGGGUAGAAUUCCACGUGUAGCAGUGAAAUGCGUAGAGAUGUGGAGGAAUACCGAUGGCGAAGGCAGCCCCCUGGGCCAAUACUGACGCUCAUGCACGAAAGCGUGGGGAGCAAACAGGAUUCAGAUACCCUGGUAGUCCACGCCCUAAACGAUGUCAACUAGGUUGUUGGGGAUUCAUUUCCUUAGUAACGUAGCUAACGCGUGAAGUUGACCGCCUGGGGAGUACGGUCGC
RNAcentral lists this ribosomal RNA (542 nucleotides) under uncultured bacterium. Its description in RNAcentral is "partial 16S ribosomal RNA". It matches the Rfam family "Bacterial small subunit ribosomal RNA", at positions 355 to 889 of the family's 1533-position model. The record is from RNAcentral.